This 244-nucleotide long non-coding RNA is filed under the name Olea europaea subsp. europaea. Lineage: Eukaryota; Viridiplantae; Streptophyta; Magnoliopsida; Lamiales; Oleaceae. The record is from RNAcentral.
AUCGAGAUUUGAAGAGAAAAUAAUGGCUGAAACCUGAAAGACUGAAACUAAAAAGGACAUUUCUCUCACACACGCACAAACUCUCUUCCUGUACUGAUAUAUGUGCAUGUGCUUAUAUAAGCCUCUAUAAAUGUGAAUUUACAGUGAGCAUCAAGAACAAGGGAGAGUGAGGAGAGAUUUUCAAGAUUUGAGGGGGUGGGCUUUGAAGUUCAACUUGACAAUUGUAGAGAGAGAACUUUUGUUG